UGCGCGUGCGCGGCAGAGUCACAAUGGCAGCCAGAUUCAGGUGCGGCCAUUUGUGUGUCCCCGAGGUUCCUCGCGGGCCGGCAUCCCACGCCGAGGGUGGUGGUGGCAGGCUUUCCAGAAAGGCAGCACACCAGGCUCAGCUCUGCUGGCGAGCAGGAGGCGACGGCAGAGGAAACUUCAACCCGAUGAACUUCCUGGUUGCGGGGACAUUUGCCUCCUCCUGCCACUCACCACCUCUGCUCUGGUCCCUCCCUCCAAGAAUCCUCAUAGCGUCCUCUCUCCCCACUCUCUCCCAUCCCGCGUCUCCCAUAUUUGCCCCAGCUUGGCUCAGGGCCACAGUUCUGCACUCUUCAGCCGGCGGCGCCACCAGCAGUUGUUUCUACGCGGGAAAUAGGGCAACAGCAUCCCAGCACAGCUGAGUGCCCAAGGAUGGUCAGCCGGGUAGGGCAAGAAGCUUCUUUCAGGGAUUCUGAUCUCACGAAACAAGAGUAAUGAUGGCACUUCACUCAGAGGUUUGUCCUGAGGCUUAAAUGAGGCAACAUGGACACAGCAUUUUAGCACAAGGCCAGGUACAGUAUGUGUAAGGAGUGUUGGCUGCUAUUUUCUCAGGCUCAUCAUCCAUCAGAUGCAAUCACUGUUCCCUGUCUUUGAAUUGUGCCUUUAUUGGUGAAAAGCUGUGUAAGCAGCUCAUUCUCAAACAGCACAAUAAUCCCAGUAGGCUUUAACUCAAAAACUCCA
RNAcentral lists this long non-coding RNA (738 nucleotides) under Homo sapiens (human). RNAcentral describes it as "long non-coding RNA NONHSAT157357.1". The record is from RNAcentral. Lineage: Eukaryota; Metazoa; Chordata; Mammalia; Primates; Hominidae.